GGGGAAUAUUGGACAAUGGGCGAAAGCCUGAUCCAGCCAUGCCGCGUGUGUGAAGAAGGUCUUCGGAUUGUAAAGCACUUUAAGUUGGGAGGAAGGGCAGUAAGUUAAUACCUUGCUAUUUUGACGUUACCAACAGAAUAAGCACCGGCUAACUUCGUGCCAGCAGCCGCGGUAAUACGAAGGGUGCAAGCGUUAAUCGGAAUUACUGGGCGUAAAGCGCGCGUAGGUGGUUCAGCAAGUUGGAUGUGAAAUCCCCGGGCUCAACCUGGGAACUGCAUCCAAAACUACUGAGCUAGAGUACGGUAGAGGGUGGUGGAAUUUCCUAGUGUAGCGGUGAAAUGCGUAGAUAUUAGGAGGAACACCGGUGGCGAAGGCGGCUUGCUGGACAAAUACUGACGCUGAGGUGCGAAAGCGUGGGGAGCAAACA
This 427-nucleotide ribosomal RNA is filed under the name uncultured Pseudomonadaceae bacterium. Its description in RNAcentral is "bacterial SSU rRNA". It matches the Rfam family "Bacterial small subunit ribosomal RNA", at positions 356 to 774 of the family's 1533-position model. Lineage: Bacteria; Pseudomonadati; Pseudomonadota; Gammaproteobacteria; Pseudomonadales; Pseudomonadaceae. The record is from RNAcentral.